CUGGCACAUGGUGCACACAGUCUAAUUUAGGGAACUAAUCGUAUAACAUACAUCAUACACAACCUAUAUCACGUAUGAAACGUUAAAAACUGUACGAAUUAUUAUGAUUACACUUCCCUUCAUAUUUAGUGAUAUUAACCUUCAUACAAACAACCUCUUCAAGGAAAAACAAAAUUCUUUUUCGAAAAUGGCACUUCCAAUUCUUCUUAUUCUCACUAUUUAAUUGCUAGCCGUAUCAAGUAACAACGAAAAAAAUAAUAAUAUCUAAUCGUUAAGCAGGGCCAUAUUUUGGGGGAUACAAUUAAAAAAGUAAAUCGUCGGUGGAAUAUUGUUUCACCUAUCAAGAAUUUUGGAAGAUAUAAUUAGAAAGGUACAACCUGGGUAGAAAAUUGUACUCCUUAUCGAGCAUUUUUGAAAAUAUAAUUGAGAAAGUGGAAUCUGGAUAGAAAAUUGUUUUACCUACGAAGCAUUAUAAAAAUUGACAGAGCAAGGAAAAUGAGCGACGAACAUACCUACAAACUAAUCUACUUCAAUGCCCGUGGUCGUGCCGAACAUAUACGGUACAUAUUUGCAUAUACUGGCAUCGAGUAUACCGACGAGAGGAUCCCCGAAGAACUCUGGCCUGAAUACAAGGAUUGUAAGCGUGAAGAAUCGAUUUUUACUUUCAUCGUUCAACUCUCAGAUAUCUGCCAUUUACUCAAACUUUUCUGUAUAUAAAACUUUCGUUUCACGUGCAGGCUAAACUUACUUAAAGUAAAAUUUCAUACGGAAUAAAGUCGAACUUUUCAUUAAGUUUUGCUUCCGUAAUAUCGUGUUCAUCGAAUACCAACUUAAUUCACUUACGAUUCUCGAAUUUUUGUGUUGCAAUCUUUAUUGUUUUCAAUGAAUCGAAGCAUUUCGAAUAUUUUGAGAAAACCGUAAAUAGGUGACUUAAAAUAGGAAUACAAAAAUACUUCUACGUUUCUCGUUAAUUUAAAAACUUUUUAGGACUUGUCGGAAAAAAAGGAUAAAAAAUUGAAAUCAGUUCGAAAAUGAACAAGAACAUAGCUAAAAAGUAGAAAGAACAAAGCAGACAUAAAAUUCGAUCUUCCGUUGCGACAUUUCUAUCGUAAAUAGUCUUCGAUAUAAUCUUAUAUGUCGCUUGCAGAUAGAGAAACAAAAAAUCAACGUAAG
Long non-coding RNA from Bombus huntii, 1173 nucleotides. RefSeq lists it as uncharacterized. The record is from RefSeq and is a predicted model, not a curated record. NCBI's taxonomy places the organism in Eukaryota, Metazoa, Arthropoda, Insecta, Hymenoptera, Apidae. The transcript has 2 exons.